GUAUUGGGUUGGGGCCUUUCUUCAGACUGAUUGUAGUAGGGGGGAGAAAGCCUGAAAAGAGAGUUGGGGGUUGGCCAAAGCCUGGUAAGUGAUAGGUGGAUACAAAGUGCUGGAGUAACA
Molecule: long non-coding RNA, 120 nt
Organism: Amblyraja radiata (thorny skate)
Lineage: Eukaryota; Metazoa; Chordata; Chondrichthyes; Rajiformes; Rajidae
Exons: 3
Source: RefSeq, a predicted model, not a curated record